RNAcentral lists this ribosomal RNA (233 nucleotides) under uncultured bacterium. RNAcentral describes it as "partial 16S ribosomal RNA". It matches the Rfam family "Bacterial small subunit ribosomal RNA", at positions 330 to 562 of the family's 1533-position model. The record is from RNAcentral.
UUCAGCCUACGGGAGGCAGCAGUGAGGAAUAUUGGUCAAUGGGCGCGAGCCUGAACCAGCCAAGUCGCGUGAGGGAUGACGGCCCUACGGGUUGUAACCCUCUUUUGUCGGGGAGCAAAUUCCGCCACGCGUGGCGGAGUCGAGAGUACCCGAAGAAAAAGCAUCGGCUAACUCCGUGCCAGCAGCCGCGGUAAUACGGAGGAUGCGCGCGUUAUCCGGAUUUAUUGGGUUUA